GCUGGGUGUGGUGGCUCACACUUGUAAUCCCAGUACUUUGGGAGGCUGAGGCAGGAGGAUCACCUGAGGCCAGGAGUUCAAGACCAACCUGGCCAACAUGGUGAAACCCUGUCUCUA
This 117-nucleotide non-coding RNA is filed under the name Nomascus leucogenys (northern white-cheeked gibbon). Lineage: Eukaryota; Metazoa; Chordata; Mammalia; Primates; Hylobatidae. The record is from Rfam by way of RNAcentral.